Molecule: long non-coding RNA, 1142 nt
Filed under: Monodelphis domestica (gray short-tailed opossum)
Lineage: Eukaryota; Metazoa; Chordata; Mammalia; Didelphimorphia; Didelphidae
Description: lncRNA (ENSMODG00000049825.1)
Source: RNAcentral
GUUGGGAAUUGCUUCCAUUUUCAAAUGAGCAGAUAAUACCCAAGCUGCCAGUAGAGAUCAGCAGACCCUGGAUUUGCAUCCCUGUCAGUGGUAUUUAGGGCCAGGGGGGCUCUGGGAUAAAGUUCUUAUUCCUUCAGUUGAUCAGGGAAUCCAUUCCCUUUAAAAUUCAUCUUCCUGAAUGACUCAUUUUUUAGCAUCUUGCAAUGGAGAAGAGGGAACAAUCAAUCAACAAGCAUUUAUAAUAUCAAUAGUUAACAUUUAUGUAACAUUUUGAGAUUUGGGAAGCAUUUUAUAAAUGUUUAGGGACUACUAUUAAUCCAUUUUACAAAUAAGGAACCUGAGGCAGAAAGAGAUUGUGACUGUUGCUCAGGGUCAGAAAGCAAAUAAUUAACAGAGGCAGGAUUUGAAUUCAAUCCUACCAGACACCAGAUCCACAGUUCUAUUCAAUAUACCACUUGGCUUGUGACUAUCUUGCCAGGUAUUAUGCCAGGUGCUAAUGUCACAAAGAAAAGCAAAACCAUUUCUGCCCUAAAAGCUUACAUUUGAUCAGGAAAUUUAAAAAUGUUUAUGUGUAAAUACAGUUGUGCCCCUGUAUCCACUAAUUUGGUACUGGCUGAUGGGUAACCAUAGGGGGAGGAGAAUAAAUGGGAAAAUUGGAAAAAUUCAGAAAAUAAAAAAUAAAUGGUUAUAAGUUUCAAACUGCCCAUCAAGCAGUAGUACCAACUACCUCAAAGUAAGAUAACAUUUAUAGAAUGCUUUGAAAACCUUAAAAUGUGAUGUAAAUGUUAGCUAUUGAUAUUUCAAAUGCUUGUUGAUUGAUGGUGAAGUCCACGGGUCCAGUGUAUGACUCAUCUCUCUUUGUUCUCAUCCCUACACUCUCAUGGAAAACUUUCUUCAGAGCCUCUAGAGAUUUCAAGGAUGGCAUUCACGGUAGCAUCAUUGAAGUGCCUUUGUUUAAGAAAAUUCAUUUCCUGCUAUCAUGGCCCCACAGUGAAAGCAGGGAUGGUGGCAGUGGUACAAUUGUGUCCCUCUCUCUGCUGAUGCGGUUACCUCCAACUAGCAAGCAGGAGUUAGCAAUGACUCAUGGAAAACUUGUGGAACUGCUAAACAUAUUAUACUUUCACCUCAGUUUGCACUGUUAG